UCCCGGUUAACCCGGGCAGUCUCACUAGAGUGCCCAUCCGAAAUGUUGGCAACUAAUGACAAGGGUUGCGCUCGUUGCGGGACUUAACCCAACACCUCACGGCACGAGCUGACGACAGCCAUGCAGCACCUGUGUAGCGGCUCCGAAGAGAGAUGUUGUUUCCAACACUGUCCACUACAUGUCAAGCCUGGGUAAGGUUCUUCGCGUUGCAUCGAAUUAAACCACAUGCUCCACUGCUUGUGCGGGUCCCCGUCAAUUCUUUUGGGUUUCACCCUUGCGAGCGUACUCCCCAGGCGGUAUACUUAACGCGUUAGCUUCGGCACAGCAGGGGUUGAGACCUGCUACACCAAGUAUACAUAGUUUACGGCUAGGACUAC
This 377-nucleotide unclassified non-coding RNA is filed under the name uncultured Chlamydiales bacterium. RNAcentral describes it as "contains 16S-23S intergenic spacer region". Lineage: Bacteria; Pseudomonadati; Chlamydiota; Chlamydiia; Chlamydiales. The record is from RNAcentral.